Molecule: long non-coding RNA, 2695 nt
Organism: Meriones unguiculatus (Mongolian gerbil)
Lineage: Eukaryota; Metazoa; Chordata; Mammalia; Rodentia; Muridae
Exons: 3
Source: RefSeq, a predicted model, not a curated record
UCUAGGAGGGAAAUGGAAGCUCACAUGUAGAAAAGCUGAAACUGGGAAGAUUCUUGAAUGCCCCUCCAUAGUUUCAUAAAGAGCAAACUGCUGCGAAGAGAAAGCAUGAUCAGCCUGUCUACUGAGAGAAGAUUUGGGACUUAAGGAGCAGCCUACAUUUCAUGCAGAGACAUGGUCAGAGUCGUUGCUCAUCUAAGAGUGGGCUUUUUGUGAUGCACCUGUUUGGGCAAUUCUACUCCUCUAGACAUCAAAUAAGCUGAACUCUGCAUAAAACUCUCAACUUCAAUGCUGAAAUAUGAGCUAUUUGUUAUUACCUUGGGUCUCAAGACUUCUGAAAAUGGAGUGGAGAAAUAAACUGAGUCAUGAGAGCAAAUACGUAUCCAAAUGCGAUCUUCCUGAAUCAGCUUUCAAAUAUUAGAAUUUGAAAAUGUGCAUAUGAAAAUGGAAGGUCCAUAGACAUUGUAGAGAGAACCUUAAGACCACUGCAGAUGAUUCCAUUUAACCAUCCAGAACGGGACUUAAUUACACAAGUCAUCAGGAAAAGUCUCUGAGGCCAAGGAGGUGAUCAUAUUCCUUCUGUUUGACUCCAUUGACUUAAACCUGUGAAUACAGCUCAACUUGUAUUUCUAUGUCUAAAACAAUAACAAAAUGGAUUUUGCUGAAAAUUUGCAAUGUUUUUAUAUUUUAUGGCAACCUAUUGUAUCCUAAAAGCUCUUAAAGACAGACUACUUGUGUUUCUUACGUGCUCCUCAAAACAAUUGAAAUCGAAUAUCACUCUGUUUCACAGAUGAAGUUCAAACAGCAUUUGAACUGCAGCAGGAUGUCCAGAUUUAAAAAUAAAAAAAUAGAGCUGUGAUUUGAGACAGGAUAAAAAAACCCACUUUUAAAAUGAAUAGAUCCCAAAGGAGUCCAAGAACAGCUGCAACAGAGUUAUUUAGAUGCUCUAUUUAAAUAAAGCUUGCGGUGAACAAGGCCUGGAGGGUCCUAUUCAGUAGCUGUGCACUAAACCUCAGUAAUAUAUAUUUUUAAGAACUCCCUAGGUAGUUCUGUGUACACUCUGAAUUAAGGCCAUCUGGUACAACCCUUACAGAAAUUGACCACCAAAUGGACACUGCUGGGGCAUGAUAAUUAGCAGUAAUCAAUUUCGUUUAUAGGUGGCAACCAUACUUGACCAUCUCCUCCCUUCCUGUCAGUGUCUCAUUAAAGAUGAAGGGAGCCCUGCCGUGUUCAAUAGCUUCUUGGGACAAGCUGGUAAUGCAGUGAUGAGCUUGAAUAAAGGCGUUUUUGCAAACUGAGGGAUGUAGUAAUUUCAAGUGACAUUAUUCACUGAGCAACCAUAAAAUAAUAAGUUUGGUAACAGCAACCACAUCAUUACUCAGCUGGGUGGCAUUUGAAUUGGUGCCCUAACAAGCUCCCACUGUUUUGUUUCCAAAACUGAGUCUUUCUUAAGACACUGUGAAAAUUAAUGUGACUGGAAAGAUAAUAGUUAGGCAAAAUUUUACUAAUUUCUUGACACUAAAAGAAGACACUAUACUUUGCCAUGUCUUUUAGAUUGUGGCUAUCUAUUUCCUACAAAUGUUAGAAAAAUGCAGACAUUUUGUUAAAGGGUAUUUCCUGUUUUGAGCUCUUUGAUAUAAAUGCACCCUUCCACUUUUUUCUUUCAGAGUAUAUUUAAACUUAAACUCUUCAAUUAAGUUUUUGAGAUUAUCACAUAACUACAUUUCUCUCUUCCUUUUUUCCCUAUCCAAACCUCCCAUACACCCCUUACUGCUGUACUUCAAAUCCAUGGCCUCUAUUUUCCACAUUACUGCAUGCAUAUUUGCUUAUAAUAUAUAUUCAUAAGCAUAACCUGCUUAGUCUAUAAAUAAAGUUACUUGUAUGUAUAUUUUCAGGACCAACCAUUUGGCCUUACAGAACCAUUUGGUUUGUACUUACCAAAACUUUUGUUUUGUUUUGUUUUGUUUUGUUUUGUUUGGUUUGGUUUGGUUUGGUUUGGUUUGGUUGAGGUAGGAUUUCUUUAUGUAAUCUGGACUGUUCUGGACUCAAUUUGUAGACCAAGCUGUCCUCGAGCUCCCAAAGACCCACCCUAAUUCUGCCUCCCUGAGUAUUGGGAUUGCAGAUGUGUGCCACCAUGCCCGGCUUCUUUCCAAACUCUUAAUGUAACUUUCUUAAGUGACAGUUUGAACACCAAAUUUCUUGUAAUAGAUUCUAUCAAUAUUUGUGAAAUGAUUUUUUUUUAAUCUAAAGACCAUUUAUCUUGACCAUCUGUUUACAGGUAAGUACAAAAGGCAAAUCCUAUAGCUUAAUGAUUUAAUAUGUAUGUACAUAUAUAUAACAUUCAAAUUCUCAAAUAUAAAAACACUACGAGAGACUAUAUACAACGAGAUUAGCAGCUCUUACAGUACAAAUUUAUUGAAAAUUUAUUGGAAAACACCAGGGUCAAGAUCAUUUGAAUGGUUCUCUUUAUUUUAGUUAAAAGGAGGUUUAGGAAACUUUUAUUCUUGAAAAAACACUGAUUCACACAUGUAUAUUCAUUUGGACAAUACUUAAUAUAAACCAUUAUUUAAAAUUACAGAUAGCUCAUGUAAUAAAAAUGCAAAACUCUGUUGUUUCCUUUGUCUUUUAAGAAUUAUUUCCAUGUGUUGUAAUUUACCAUGGUAUAAUUUGUUUAGAAAAUUAAAGUAAUAAAACCAUG